CUUCGGCAAUGGACGAAAGUCUGACCGAGCAACGCCGCGUGAGUGAAGAAGGUUUUCGGAUCGUAAAACUCUGUUGGUAGAGAAGAACGUUGGUGAGAGUGGAAAGCUCAUCAAGUGACGGUAACUACCCAGAAGGACGGCUAACUACGUGCC
This 153-nucleotide ribosomal RNA is filed under the name uncultured bacterium. RNAcentral's name for it is "partial 16S ribosomal RNA". It matches the Rfam family "Bacterial small subunit ribosomal RNA", at positions 363 to 509 of the family's 1533-position model. The record is from RNAcentral.